This 466-nucleotide long non-coding RNA is filed under the name Nicotiana tabacum (common tobacco). RNAcentral's name for it is "long non-coding RNA (NTAB_LNC000710)". The record is from RNAcentral. Lineage: Eukaryota; Viridiplantae; Streptophyta; Magnoliopsida; Solanales; Solanaceae.
UGAACUAUUUCCCAUAUUCACUAAAAUUCUUCAGAAUUUACUCUUCAGCUUUCUCCACUGGAACUGCUUUCUCUUCAACAGAUUCUGCUGCUGCUACUGGUUCCUCAGCUGCUGCAUCUGUGGUUUUCUCAGCCACUGCUUCUUCAGUUACUGGAGCUGAUUCAUCUGCUACAGGGACAGCUUUCUCUGUUUCUGGUUCCUCGACAGGGGCUGCUUCGAGUUCAGCCUCCGCGACAGGGGCUGCAACCUCUUCAACAGGAGCCGCAACUGGUUCCUCAGCUGCUGGCUCCUCUGUUUCUAUGGCUGCAGGUUCUGCUGCAGCCACAGGUUCUUCAGCAGCAGGGGCUGCUUCCUCAGCGGGAGCAGGCUCUUCUACUGGUGCUGCUGCUGAUUCGACGACGGAUUCGCUUUCUACAACUGGGGUUGGUUCCUCUACUUUGGUUUCCUCUGGGGUUGUUUUUACCUC